UAAGAAUUUAAGAUCCCUGGACGUGUGCCUGUACUCACCUACUUGGAGGCUGAGACAGAAGGGUCCCUGAACUCCAGAAGUUCAAAGACAAUCAGUAUAUAACUCACCAGGCCUCCUUCCAAAGCCUCUAAGGUGGUCCAGUUCCACGUGUGUACUGUAUAUCUUAGUUUGCCCUCUUACCGAUUGAAACCCACCUCAGCAAGUAUUUGAUUUUUAGCUAUCAUGUGUAAUAAAGGUAUUUAUGCAGGAAUAAUGAAACAAUAAAACUUGGGUGUGGUGCUGGACCUGUCAUUAAACAGGGUGAACCUGUCAUUAAACCCUCCUCUGAAGAUGUAAAGAUCAAGUGUUGCAUUUCUCCCUAAUCUUCCCAGGGGAGACUGAGUGAACAUAUUGCUUUCCCAUUUUUAAAUGUAACAGUUGAUGCAACAGUGAAAUGGGAAGAGAGCCACACGUCUGUUGCCCAACAACUCUGGGGAGAUGGCUGUGUGAGAAGGCUGGGCAGUUCUUACAAAACAGGGAGUCAGUCAUUCACUGUUGCCAGGGUGCACAGGCAGAAUGGCAAUGGAGGAAGAAAGAGUUUGGUGUUUUGUUAGCAAGUAGAAGAACUAAACCAUCAGUACUGGUGACUGAACAGGCUUUUGUGGAUACUGGGCGAUUGUUCUGCUGUGGGACAGCAUCUCCAGCAAAUGCUGAAGUCGUUAAAAUAUUCACACAAUCACACUGCUUCAUAUAACCUAACAGCGAGCUCUGGGCUUCUCUGAAACUUGCAAAGUAAAAGGUACUUUGUACCAGUAUCUAAGCUACCUUCUGUAUAGAUCCUGUUUCUGGGGAUAAAAACAUUUAUAAAUGAGAAAAUGCAAAAGAAUUGUUUUCCUUUGAGGAAAACACAAGAAAAUCACGACAAUACCGGGGGAAAGCCAAUGAGUAGACUGACAGAAUUUUCCACGAGGAAGAAGUGGGAGUUUUACUCCUUAAGUUGAAGGAAAAGCGUUUGGGGUAGGGGCAUUGCUUGUCAAGUGCGCGAUCGCAGUCACCAGCACCAAGGACAGCGACAACCCAUCCUGCUGGGCCGGGUGGUCCUUAUCCUCAGCAAACAAUUCUAGGGGCACCAACUUUGAUGGUUUAAUGCCCCCUCCCCCACCUGCCACCACCUGUAAUCCCAGCAUCCAGGAAGCUGUGGCAGGAGGACUGUGGCAAGUUUAAGGCCAGCCUGGACUACAGGGUGAGGCCUUGUUUUAAAAGAUCACAAGCAAAAUAACAGGAAACGCCCAUAAAGAAACUCAGUGGGCUUUCCCCACAAAAGCCAACCUGCUCAACUUGUUUUCCAGGUAUUAUUGUAUUAUGUAACAUUAUCUCUAUAAAGAAUAAUAGUCACUAUAUUUGAAAGAAGGAAAACAAACAAACAAACAAACAAAUAUUCUAUUUCCUGUUCCAAGUGGCUUUACAGUA
RNAcentral lists this long non-coding RNA (1449 nucleotides) under Rattus norvegicus (Norway rat). Its description in RNAcentral is "long non-coding RNA NONRATT033191". The record is from RNAcentral. Lineage: Eukaryota; Metazoa; Chordata; Mammalia; Rodentia; Muridae.